Molecule: long non-coding RNA, 1041 nt
Filed under: Triticum aestivum (bread wheat)
Lineage: Eukaryota; Viridiplantae; Streptophyta; Magnoliopsida; Poales; Poaceae
Description: long non-coding RNA (TAES_LNC013692)
Source: RNAcentral
CACCGUGUAAGCUCGGCCUGCCUGCCUCCAGGAGCUCGCGUCGAUGCCCGCCGCCACGAGCCCGGCUCCAGGGGCUCCAAGAGAGAUCACGGCAGGGUUCCCUCCCCGCCGACGGAGCUCCUUCUUUCACCGGAGCUCCCUUACCCGCCGGAUCCGACCCCCUCCAGACCAACUCCGGCCUCGACCGGCUCUGCUCCGGGCAGCGACGUCGUGCAAGCAGCGCAGAUGGCGAUGGGGUGGCGUUCCGUGCAGCACCUUCACCGUGCGAAUCGGCGUGACACUUGACAUCUUUGCAAUUAGCUGCUUGUGCCGCACAUUUGAGCUGACCAUCUAGACGAUGACUUCCGAGGAUGUUACUUCCAUUUUGCGGUUAGUCCUCGUUCCUGCCUUGCAAUCAUAUAGACACAGAGAGGAUAGCGUGCAUUGUAGAUUUGCAGCUUGUAAUUUUCAACAGUAGCAGUGCACUUGCAGGUUUGCUUCAGGGAUGUAUGGUCAGGGAAACAAGCAUAUAUGCUUGGCACACUGAUGUCUGAAGAAAUUAACAUGGGAUGUUCAGAUAUAUUGUUGAGGAAUUAGGUAGUGUGCUACCAAGGAACUGUAUGUGUCGUGUAUGAUUAGCAAUUGUGCAAUAAUAUAGAUACAGAGAAGAACCAGCAAUUAAAGAUUGAUUUCCAUCAAAGGCUCGUGUGCAUUUCAGAUUUGCAGGUUGUAGUAUUCAACAGUAGUAAUGCACUUGCAGAUGUGCUUCAUGGAUGUAUGGGUAGGGAGACAAUGAUGCAUAUAUGCCUGACACACUAAUGCCUGAAGAAAUUAGUGCAAUGCUCAGACAUAUUUGUUGAAGAAUUAGGUUGUGUGCUACCGGGUAAUUCUGUAAUUGUAUGUUCCUUGUAUGAUUAUUAGGCGUUGUGCAACUUAACAAUGGGUAACUACUAAACUUUGCAGUGCAAUUUUACAAUGAAUAACUUCUAAAGUUUAUAGUGGUAGUCUUGCCUAGGCAGACCAUGUAGUAUUGUAGUGAAAUAUGUGCUAAUUAAACAUGAC